RNAcentral lists this microRNA precursor (176 nucleotides) under Triticum aestivum (bread wheat). RNAcentral describes it as "MIR2118 microRNA precursor family". It matches the Rfam family "MIR2118 microRNA precursor family". RNAcentral also lists the same sequence under 1 other name. Lineage: Eukaryota; Viridiplantae; Streptophyta; Magnoliopsida; Poales; Poaceae. The record is from Rfam by way of RNAcentral.
GCUAGGAAGAAGAAGAAAGAGAGGGCUUAAGAGCAGUGGGAGUGAUAACAUAGAGGAAAGCCUAAAUUACUGGUUCUUCACCUCUAGUCUUGAGGUGGAUCAGACGUUUAGUUUGGUAUUUCCAUAUGCGUCUCAUUUCGAUCAUUCUUAGUCACUCCUUCAUCUUCCUUUUUGUU